CGAGUAUUUAAACUAAAAAGAACUUAAUCGAAUUACGAUUCAGCCAUGGGUACUGGACCUGUUUGACAGAAAAAUUACAGGAAUUUAAAAUGGCUGAGUUGGCACUAAAAUUACAAUAAACUUAAAAGAAAAUUGGAAAAAUAAAAAAUAAAAAAAUUCCUCCAACGCACACCCACUAAACCCAAAUGAGUUUCCCCAUUUCCCCCAAAUUUACAUUGGUGCACACACGAGUUCUCCUAAAGCCAAGUCAGCUACAGUAUUUACUGUCACCGCCAGCCAGCGCCGUCGAAGAACGUACAUCGCAUCCUUCACAUUUACACCACUGGUAGGCAAGAUUCGCCAUCAUUUUUCCCUAAGCUCCUACCCCACGCAGAAUUGGCCACCGCACUCAUCGUCAUCACCUAGCGCCGCACUCACCUCAGCCGGAUUCACCUCCUUACUUGGGGCCGCACUCACCUAAGCCACAUUUCUAUCCCCUGGCGGUAAUGUAAGUAUUUGUUAAAUAAUUUUUUGACAUGGAUUUUGAGAUUGGAUAAUAGGUUAGCAAAUUGGAGUGCAAGUUUACAUAGAGAUGACGUCAAAUCUGAGUUGGAUCAAACUAUUUGAAAGGCAAGACAAAAUGCAAAUUCUUCCGAGAAUCCUUUAUCACGUUGACAUGCUUAGUGAAGGUCUCAUUAUUUAUGACGAAAUAGAAUAGGUUGCACGAAAGGAAGGGAAAAAACCAAUCUAGAAGUUGUUUUUUAUGAGGAGAGGGACCCCCUCCCCCCAAUGCUGGGCUAGAUCAAAGUUCAAUGAGUGAUCGGGUGCAAAAUAAAGUUAAGUUAGUAAAAUUUGUCACUUUGCAAAGUUUAAUGAGUGUUGAAAUAAUUAACUCCUCUCAGAGUUUGUGAUGGAGGGUAAGGAGGAAGGAAUUAAACGGAAUUGAGUCAUUGGUCCCCAGCUUAAUGUCCCAAGAGCAUUUUAG
RNAcentral lists this long non-coding RNA (964 nucleotides) under Olea europaea subsp. europaea. The record is from RNAcentral. Lineage: Eukaryota; Viridiplantae; Streptophyta; Magnoliopsida; Lamiales; Oleaceae.